Molecule: transfer RNA, 68 nt
Filed under: Samariscus latus (deep-body righteye flounder)
Lineage: Eukaryota; Metazoa; Chordata; Actinopteri; Pleuronectiformes; Samaridae
Description: tRNA-Asp
Rfam family: tRNA
About the family: Transfer RNA (tRNA) molecules are approximately 80 nucleotides in length. Their secondary structure includes four short double-helical elements and three loops (D, anti-codon, and T loops).
Source: RNAcentral
AAGACACUAGUAAAAUAUUAUAUUGCCUUGUCAUGGCAAAGUUGUAGGUUAAACCCCUGCGUGUCUUA